Molecule: non-coding RNA, 649 nt
Organism: Myotis daubentonii (Daubenton's bat)
Lineage: Eukaryota; Metazoa; Chordata; Mammalia; Chiroptera; Vespertilionidae
Source: the annotation of a RefSeq genome assembly
GGCUGUGAGCACCAUGGCCUGGACUCCUCUGCUCCUCGCGCUCCUCUCUCACUGCACAGGGUCCCUCUCCCAGCCGGUGCUGACUCAGCCGCCCUCCCUCUCUGCAUCUCUGGGAGCCACAGCCAGACUCACCUGCACCCUGAGCAGUGGCUUCAAUGUUGGCAUAUACAGGAUAACCUGGCACCAGCAGAAGCCAGGGAGCCCUCCCCGGUACCUCCUGAAUUACUACUCAGAUUCAGAUAAGGGCCAAGGAUCCGGGGUCCCCAGCCGCUUCUCUGGAUCCAAAGACGCCUCGGCCAAUGCAGGGCUCCUGCUCAUCUCGGGGCUGCAGCCUGAGGACGAGGCUGACUAUUACUGUGCUGCAUAUCAUAGCAAUGGUCACAGUGAUUCAGAUGACGAGGAAUUAAAGGGCCAGUUCCACAAGCAGAAGCCAGGGAGCCGUCCCCGGUUUCUCCUGGAAUAUAAAUCAGACUCAAGUAAGAACCAGGGUUUCGGGGUCCCCAGCCGCUUCUCUGGAUCCAAAGACGUCUCGGCCAAAGCGGGGGUCCUUCUCAUCUCGGGGCUGCAGCCUGAGGACGAGGCUGAGUAUUUCUGUGCUGCAGAACAUGGCAGUGGGAGCAGCUUUAGUCACGCACAGCGUCUCAGAUGA